CACGUAGGGGGCGAGCGUUGUCCGGAAUUAUUGGGCGUAAAGGGCUCGUAGGCGGUUUGUCGCGUCGGGAGUGAAAACCAUGGGCUUAACUCAUGGCUUGCUUUCGAUACGGGCAGACUAGAGGUAUGCAGGGGAGAACGGAAUUCCAGGUGUAGCGGUGAAAUGCGCAGAUAUCAGGAGGAACACCGGUGGCGAAGGCGGUUCUCUGGGCAUGAUCUGACGCUGAGGAGCGAAAGUGUGGGGAGCGAACAGG
RNAcentral lists this ribosomal RNA (253 nucleotides) under uncultured bacterium. RNAcentral's name for it is "partial 16S ribosomal RNA". It matches the Rfam family "Bacterial small subunit ribosomal RNA", at positions 524 to 776 of the family's 1533-position model. The record is from RNAcentral.